GGGGGACUUUGGGGUUCCAGGGUGGUCCUGGGCCAACCUUGGGGGCUUUUCAGGGGGAUUUGGGGUUCCCGGGGGAGAUUUGGGGAUCCUGGGGGUUCCCAGACCCCCCCCUCCCGUUUUUGGGGGUCUCCCAUGGUGCCCCCUCCCCACAGAGCUCCGAGGGCCCCUGAGGUGGCUCCUGUUCCACCGGCCAGUGCCCCUGACCCAGCACGGCCCCAGAGAGUCUGGGGGGAUCUGGGGGGCAUUUUUGGCAUUUGGGGGCAAUUUUGGGAGGGUUUUUGGGGAUUUUGGGAGGGCGUUUUUAGAGCUUUGGAGGGUUUUGAUGGAAGUUGAGGGGGUAUUAUUGGGGAUUCAGAGAGAAUUAUUGUGUUUCGGGGUUUAUGGGAUUUUGGGAGUUUUGUGGCUUUCGGGAGUUUUGGAUUUUGGGGGAUUUAAUUGGGGUUGGGGGUUGAUUUUUGAGGGUGUUUAGUGAAAUUUUGGGGAGUUUUUUUGAGUUUGGGUGGGUUUCACUUGGAUUUGGUGGGAUUCUCUGGGGUUUUGGAGGAUCUUAUUGUAAUUUCUUGAGGAAUGUGGGAUUUUUAGUGGAAUUUGUGGGGCAUUUGGGAGUCUGGGGCCUUUGGGUUGUCCCAGGGUUUGCAGAAGGGCUGAGAGGCAUCACAAUCUCCUUAAAAGCCCCAAAAGUCCCAAUAAAACUCAUGAAAUCCGAAAUAAAUCUCGCAAAAUCCCAUUAGAACACCCUAGAAUCCCAAUAAAAGCCCACAAAAUCUUUUGAAAUCCCAAUAACCCCCAAAAUCCUAAUGAAACCCCACAAAUCCACCCCAAAAAAUGUCCCCUAAAAAAUCUUGCAAAAUCUCCCCCAAGACCCAAAGAAAUCAGAGCAACACCCAAAAAUCCCAACAAAACUCCUCUAAAUCCCACCAAAACUCCCAAAAAACCCCAAAUUGCCAAAAAACCCAAAUCCCAAAUACAUCCCACUAAAUGCCUCCAAAAUUCCAAUAAAUACCUCAAAAUCUCCUAAAAAUCCCAAUAAAAUCCCCAGAAUUUAUGAGAAUUGCAAAAACCCCCAACAAAAUCCCAGUAAAACCUCCCAAAAUACAAAAAAAAAACCAACCAAAAUUUUCAAUAAACCUCCAAACACCCCCAGAAGAACACCCCCCCCAAAGCGCCAAUAAAACCCCCAAAAUCCAAACCCCCCAAAAUCCACAAACCCCCCAACAUUUCCCACCUUGUCCCAGCAUGUCUGCCGUCAUUUCCAGGCGCUGCCAGGGGCCCCAGGACGGUGUCAGUUCUCCCAGUGUGAUCCCCCAGUCACGCCCAGAAUAUCCCAGCUGCCUCCAGCAUGCAUCCAGUCCUGCCCAGUUCCUCCAGUUUGCUUGCAGCGUGAUCCCAGUUUCUCUCAGGAUUUCCAUUGCCAACCCCCAUUGAGGCUGUGAGGAAAAUGCCCCAGAACAUGCAAGCAGAGCAGGAGCUGAGCAUGGAGAGCAGGGAGGACAAAUCCCCGCGGCAGAACCUCGUGGCAGAGGCCGUUUUGAGCGGCUCCACGGCGCAGGAACCCAACGGGGAGGAAAAGCCCCGGAGAUCCUGCACGAGGAGGGGCUGCAAACACAGCCCAGGUUGCUCUGAGGAGUAAAGAUCCACCCUGUGCCAGGAAGGUGGACAGAGCUUCAGCCAGAGCUUGGAGCUGGUGGUCCAUGAGCAGGUUCCUGAUGGGGAGAAGCCUCACAGGUGCUUGGAGUGUGGGAAGAGCUUCUGGUGGAUCACCAAGCUGAUGGUGCACCAGAGAACCCACACUGGGGAACGGCCCUACGAGUGUGGGGAGUGUGGGAAAGGCUUCAGGUGCAGCUCUGAGCUCAUCACUCACUAACGCAUCCAUACCGGGGAGAGGCCCUAUGACUGUCCCGAGUGUCAGAAGAGGUUUCAGACCAGCUCCAGUCUCCUCCAGCAUCAAUGGAUUCACACAGAGGAGAGGCCCUUCCGCUGCCCAGACUGCAGGAAGGGCUUCAACUGCAACUCAAACAUCGCCAGGCACCGGUGCAUCCACAGCGGGGAGAGGCCCUACGAGUGUCCCCAGUGUGGGAAGAGCUUUACCCACAGCUCUAACUUGACCAAACAUCAACAGAGUCACCAGUAAGGGAAGUCCUGCAAGUGCCCUGAGUGUGGGAAGAGCCUCGUGUGCUGCUCCAGCUUCAUCCCCCAUUGGAGAACCCACACUGGGAAGAGACCUGCUGAUCCAUGUUCCCUGUGAUCCAUGGUGGGAAGACACUUGCCACUUUUCCUGCCCCUGCUAGUGAGCUGAUGUAGGAUUGAAGAACAAGAGGGUCUGGCCAGAGCCGUGUCAUUAGAUUCACUCCCACCUCAGGUCAUUGCCAGGGGCAGGAAAGGGACUCUCUCUCUCUCCCUGAGGAGAAAGGUGUCCUUUCCAGGCAGGAGGAAAUACGUGGCCAGGAAGAGCCACUCAGUGGUGAUGUUGUACUUUUCCCUGUAAAUAGUUUUUCUUAUCCCUUCUGUUAUCAAUAUUGCUUUUGUUCCUAUUUGUUCCUUAUCUCAUUGCUGUUCCCAGUAAAUUGUUCU
Long non-coding RNA from Passer domesticus (house sparrow), 2571 nucleotides. RefSeq lists it as uncharacterized. The transcript has 3 exons. The record is from RefSeq and is a predicted model, not a curated record. Lineage: Eukaryota; Metazoa; Chordata; Aves; Passeriformes; Passeridae.